CCCCCGUUCUCUCUCUCUCUCUCUCUCUCUCUCUGGCUCUCUCUCAUAAAAAAAUCGGCCCCAAAUCGGAGUUCGCUGCCGUCGGAGUUCGCUGCCGUCGGAGUUCGCCGAUGGCGUCGAGAGUUCGUCGCUGCCGUCGAGACCUGAAGUUCGCCGCUGGCUCUCUCUGAUUAAUUCGCUCUCUUUCCUCUCGCUAGGGUUUUGAUUUGCCCUAAUUCUUCUCUCAAGGUUCGAAUCUUGACAUGGCUUCCAACGCCGGCUCAUCCCGCUGCUCUGUAUUCGUUGGAAAUAUACCCUACGACUUCACCAAGGAGUAAAUGAUUGAGAUUUGCAAGGAUAUUGGACCGGUUGUGUCUUUUAGGGAGCAACAAUUAUUGAUCAACAUGUCUGCAUCGUUCGCUGGGGACAGUAUAAAGAACCUUCUAGUUUUUGGGACAUGCCUACAUGGAGUGUUGAAGAUGACAAUGAUCCCUUGGCUGGUAAUCAAGGCCGUUUGACUGUCUUGCUCGUAAGCAUGAAGGAAAGUGCUCCACGAAGACAGCCAGCUAUUGUAUUUUUGCAUAGUUCUUACAAGUGCAAGGAAUGGUUACAUCCAUUACUUGAGAAGGAUUGUUUCUUGCUCAAGGAGUUUCUUUAUACAGGCAUAUGCUUCAAGGGGAUAUAUUGCAGUGGCAAUUGAUUCUCGCUACCAUGGAGAAAGAGCUAGCAACAGGACCACUUACCUAGAUGUAAGCAAAUGUUCCUUCUCUCUCACCCCUCAAAACAAGUCAGAAAGAAUCCUAGUUCUCAGUUACACAUGAUAUUCUCUUGAGUUGGAUGCUUGUCGGAAGGAGGUUGAGAUGCUUAAGCUGGAGAUUGGUCAUCUCAAUAAUAGAAUCACAGAGUUGCAUGAAAGUACUAAAAAUGCCGACCUUGUGGAGUAUGAGCGGAUGAAGGAUGAGCAGCAACAAAUUAAGAAGAAAAAUGAGACACUGACAAGAGAGAAGGAAGAACUUCACUUUAAAAACCAAGUCCUUCUGAAACAAUUAGAAGAUUCUAAAUCAAGCCUCAAGCAUUACUAUCGUUGAUCAUACCCGUGCACAUUCGAUCUGGGACUUGACGGACUCACAGGUCCAAUUUUAUGUCCGUCAAGCAGCCUUCUUUGAGUGCUUACAAAUUAAAUGUGUGAGACUUGAUUAGGCUCUCUUGACGACACUGAUUGAACGUUAGAGGCCCGAGACAAAUACAUUCUACCUGCGCCAAGGAGAGUUGAUUACAUUGCAGGAUAUUGGGGUUUUGCUUGGACUCAGAGUGGAUGGAGAUGCUGUCACGGGUAGCAACGACUUUAAUUGGGUAGGGAAGUGCAAAGAAUUUCUAGGUCAAGUUCCUCACAUGAAGGGUGGUAAGAUCAAGCUUGAAUGGUUGAGAAACAAUUACACGAAUGUACCGAUCGAUGCGACCGAGGAGAUCAUCAAGAUGUAUGUCCAUGCAUACAUACUUCAUAUGAUCGAUACUAUUCUUUUUCCGGAUUUCACGAAGGAUUCGAUGCAAGUGAGGUGGUUGCCACUCCUGGAGGAUCUUGAGGAUUAUGGAGAAUUAUCAUGGGGGAGUGUCGUGUUAGCGUAUCUGUAUAGGGAGAUGACCAAAGUGGCAUUUGUUCAAAACAAAGAAUUCAAGGGGUGUCUCACUCUGCUACAGAUAUGGUCUUGGGAGAUAUUGCAUUUGGGUUGCCCAGAUUUGAGGGAGACUCAUGCUCUCGAUGACCAUAUUCCAUUAGGCUGCAGGUGCAAUGUGUCCAAAUCUUGACAUACCUCACCAAAGGGCCAUGAAAACUUUUACAGGAAUGAGCUUGAUCAAAUGGAGGAUGAACAUGUCAAGUGGAUGUCAUAUGAACUAGUUUUGGAGUCACUACCAGAUAUUUGCAGGGAAGGUGAGGAUGCAUGGCGUGCUCGCGUCCCGAUCAUAUGUUUUGAGAUUGUCGAGAUGCACGUGCCCGACCGUGUGCUCCGACAAUUUGGGCUCCAACAACAUAUUUCGUCCCUGUGGAGUGAAUAAAGUGAAAUCCCAAAAAAGAUGCACAUCAUGCAAAUUGGGAAUAUAUUCGACAUGCUUACAUCAGGAGGUGGGAGUUGAGGGAGGAACAAGUAGUGAUGGAGAGGGCUGACACACCUGACCUAGGUGUGUAUUUGCGGUGGUAUUGAAGGAUUACUCGCAGGUGGAUAUUUCAGGAGAACAAAACCCCUAAGGAGUACAUACCAAGAGGCCUCGUUGAGAGAGAGUUGGUACAAGAGCUCGUAGAGCUUUCUACUAUGGCAUGAUGCAUUACGAACGACUACCGAGCCAGAGCCGAGGAACACGUUCCUUCGCAUGAUAAAAAAGAUUCGGUCCGCUCUUCAGAGGACGUGUAAUGCAAGACGUGAUGGACGUGAGGAGCGACCAAUUGAGUACGGGCGUCGACGGUUCCGAGAACACACGGGGGCAUGCUCAAGCUGUGCACAUGAUGAAGCUGGCGGCUCACAGCAGACUCAAGCCGAAUGUUCACAGCCGGUUCGAGUCGACGAGGAUGUCAUGCACUCUCAACUUCACACACAACCGGACGAGGAUCUCAUCCGAGCUCACAUCGAAGGUGAACGGAGAAGGGGAGAGGAAGGAGAGGGAGAGGAAGAGGUAGAGGAGAUGGAGUUGUAAAUAUUUGUUAAGUUUCGAUAUACUUGAUAGGAUUUUUUGCGUUUGAAACUGAAUAUUAUGUAUCCGAUUGAGUAUUGAUUAUUAGUAUGUG
Long non-coding RNA from Asparagus officinalis (garden asparagus), 2758 nucleotides. RefSeq lists it as uncharacterized. The transcript is spliced from 11 exons. The record is from RefSeq and is a predicted model, not a curated record. NCBI's taxonomy places the organism in Eukaryota, Viridiplantae, Streptophyta, Magnoliopsida, Asparagales, Asparagaceae.